UGCAGGGGGCGGGGCUGUCGCGGCAGGGUAGAUCGGCGGGCGCUAGGACAGCGCGGAGCUCCGGCGGCGGGCGGGGCGUGGCGGCGCGCGUACAGGCAGGCGGCGGCGGGAUGGAGUCCGAGCCCCAGCCCGCGGCCGUGGAGGUUCCCGCUGGGCGCGUGCUCAGCGCCCAGGAGCUCUUCGCCGCCCGCUCGCGGUCGCAGAAGCUGCCCCAGCGCUCUCAUGGCCCCAAGGACUUUCUGCCCGACGGCUCGGCGACUCAGGCCGAGCGGCUGCGCCGGUGCCGGGAAGAGCUCUGGCAGCUGCUGGCCGAGCAGCGCGUGGAGCGCCUGGGCAGCUUGGUGGCUGCCGAGUGGAGGCCGGAAGAGGGCUUCGUGGAGCUGAAGUCUCCUGCGGGCAAGUUCUGGCAGACCAUGGGCUUUUCAGAGCAGGGCCGGCAGCGGCUUCACCCGGAAGAGGCCUUGUAUCUGCUGGAGUGUGGCUCCAUCCACCUUUUCCACCAAGAUCUGCCACUGUCUAUCCAGGAAGCUUACCAGCUGCUGCUGACGGACGACACUGUGACCUUCCUGCAGUACCAGGUCUUCAGCCACCUGAAGAGGUUGGGUUAUGUGGUUCGACGAUUCCAACCAAGCUCUGUCCUAUCCCCAUAUGAGAGGCAGCUUAACCUGGAUGCCAGCGUGCAGCACUUGGAGGAUGGAGAUGGCAAGAGAAAGAGGAGCAGCUCCAGCCCUUGGUCCAUUAAUAAGAAGGCCAAGGCCCUGGACAACUCCCUGCAACCCAAGAGUCUGGCAGCCUCCAGCCCACCUCCCUGCAGCCAGCCCAGCCAAUGCCCAGAGGAGAAACCCCAGGAGUCAAGCCCCAUAAAGGGCCCAGGAGGCCCCUUUAAGCUUCUGGGGUCCCUGGGGCCCAGCCCUGGCCCGGCCAGGGAGGGGGUGGGGUGCAGCUGGGAGAGUGGCAGAGCCGAGAACGGAGUCACGGGGGCCGGUAAGCGGCGCUGGAACUUCGAGCAGAUCUCAUUCCCCAACAUGGCUUCAGACAGCCGCCACACCCUCCUGCGCGCCCCAGCCCCAGAACUGCUCCCGGCCAACGUGGCUGGGCGGGAGACAGAUGCUGAGUCCUGGUGCCAGAAGCUGAACCAGCGCAAGGAGAAGCUCUCGAGGCGGGAACGGGAGCACCACGUGGAGGCCGCGCGGUUCCGGGAAGAUGUCAAUGCUGAUCCCGAGGUGCAGAGCUGUUCCAGCUGGCGGGAGUACAAGGAGCUGUUGCAGCGGCGGCACCUGCAGAGGAGCCAGAGCCAGGCCCCUCACCUGUGGGGCCAAUCCGUCACCCCCCUGCUGAGUCCCAGCCAGGCCAGCUCCCCAGGUACCCCCUCAGCCUGCCACAUCCUCGAGGGCCACUGGCAGCUGAGGAAUCACAGGACUUUGGAAAGGGCAUGGAUGAACCGGGAUGGAUUGAGGCUUAAAAAGAUGUGGGAGGAGGGAGUCGACCCACAAGGACGGUCAGUUCUCCCGCGGCUGCAGCAAGGCCUGUGUGGGAAUGCUUAGAGAUGCCGUGGUCCUUCAGCAUAUUUCUGUGCUGCAGACAACACAUCUUGCUGAUGGAGGUGCUCAGCUGCUGGAGAAGUCUGGGGGCUUGGAAAUCAGCUUUGAUGUUUACCAGGCUGACGCUGUGGCCACAUUCCGAAAGAAUAACCCUGGCAAACCCUAUGCCCGGAUGUGCAUUAGUGGAUUUGAUGAGCCUGUCCCAGACCUCUGCAGCCUCAAGCGGUUGUCUUACCAGAGUGGGGAUGUCCCUCUGAUCUUUGCUCUGGUGGAUCAUGGUGACAUCUCCUUCUACAGCUUCAGGGACUUCACGUUGCCCCAGGAUGUGGAGCACUGACCUCACGGCUCUGCAGGGGAUAGAGCUCGCUCCAGGGGACCGGGACUGUCUGUUCUCAGGGACCAUCUCGGCUGCCUCCUGUACCGACUCUAACCUGUAGCUUCCGGGGCCAGUAUGGGCCUUGGCCCUGGGUGUCUGAUACUCACAGAGUAAAACUGUGACCCUCUCCCCUUCCCUGCUGCCUUGCAGUGACCCCUCUGGAACUCAGGACUCGAUUUUAAGGACCCGGGUGGUGGGGCAGAAGAGAGGACUCUGUGCCUUUAACGAGAGGGUGCCUGCUUCGUGCCAUAAAGCCAAAGCCAUUAAAAAUAGAUUUCUUUUC
Rhinopithecus roxellana (golden snub-nosed monkey) is the source of this 2200-nucleotide RNA transcript. It is a transcript of the gene named tRNA splicing endonuclease subunit 54, with no coding region annotated. NCBI's taxonomy places the organism in Eukaryota, Metazoa, Chordata, Mammalia, Primates, Cercopithecidae. The transcript has 11 exons. The record is from RefSeq and is a predicted model, not a curated record.